This 380-nucleotide ribosomal RNA is filed under the name uncultured bacterium. RNAcentral's name for it is "bacterial SSU rRNA". It matches the Rfam family "Bacterial small subunit ribosomal RNA", at positions 524 to 906 of the family's 1533-position model. The record is from RNAcentral.
UACGGAGGAUCCAAGCGUUAUCCGGAUUUAUUGGGUUUAAAGGGUGCGUAGGCGGCCUAUUAAGUCAGGGGUGAAAGACGGUAGCUCAACUAUCGCAGUGCCCUUGAUACUGAUGGGCUUGAAUACACUAGAGGUAGGCGGAAUGUGACAAGUAGCGGUGAAAUGCAUAGAUAUGUCACAGAACACCGAUUGCGAAGGCAGCUUACUAUGGUGUUAUUGACGCUGAGGCACGAAAGCGUGGGGAUCAAACAGGAUUAGAUACCCUGGUAGUCCACGCCCUAAACGAUGAAUACUCGCUGUUAGCGAUAUACAGUUAGCGGCUAAGCGAAAGCAUUAAGUAUUCCACCUGGGGAGUACGCUCGCAAGGGUGAAACUCAAAG